CGGAUCGUAAAGCCCUGUCGGAUGGGAAGAAAAACGGUAUGGCUAACAUCCAUGCCGCUUGACGGUACCAUAAGAGGAAGCCCCGGCUAACUUCGUGC
RNAcentral lists this ribosomal RNA (98 nucleotides) under uncultured bacterium. RNAcentral's name for it is "partial 16S ribosomal RNA". The record is from RNAcentral.